Molecule: long non-coding RNA, 2160 nt
Filed under: Homo sapiens (human)
Lineage: Eukaryota; Metazoa; Chordata; Mammalia; Primates; Hominidae
Description: HSALNT0137607
Source: RNAcentral
GUUUCUCUGGUGCUGGUUACAGUAGCUAAGAGGGUGGAACGGCAGGACAAUUUGUCACACAAACAAAUUUAAAUGUGGACCGAGGGGUUUGCCCACCUUAUGAUGAGUGGUUGACUUGUGGCCAAAAACACAAAACAAAAACAAAAACAAGAGGUGGGGUUGAUGAGGUCUGGGGGACAAGAGUUGCAGUUUCGAAACAGAGUGGAGGCUCCUUUAAUCUUGACAGCCCGAAUGCUACAGGGGUCACAGCACAUCUGCUCCGGAGGAAAGACAAAGGGCAAGGUGGGGCCACGGUAGCCCGCGCGGGGCUCUUGGCGGGCUGGGGGCGGCGUGCGCCGAGCUGGGCGCGAGUGGAGGGGCCGGCGGCUUUGUGCGCCCCCGCCAGUGCCCGCCCGCAGCCCCGCCGCAGCGUUUAACCUUGACUUCUCCCUCCUCGCUUCUGGCACGGGAGGAAAGCCUGUCCAGAUGGGCGUCCUGAGUGUGACGACGUCCCCUCCCGCCCCCGCGCUCUCGCGCAGAUGUCGCACGCUGCCCUGGGUCCCGCCACACCGCCCACCAAGGCCGCGGGCCCUGCGCGCCCGGGGCAGGCGGGCACAUCCCGCACCCUCUCCGCCCGCCCGCCCCCGGCGCCCUUCGCAUUCCCUUCUUCGGCCCUGGCCCCUCGGACCGGAGCGCCCAGGCCAGCUCAGGGUGUUCCCGUGGGGGUCUCCGGAAACAAUGCACAUCUCAGGAUGGGGCAAUAUUUGGUGAGAACCAUAUUGGAUUCUACCAAAUUACAAAUAUAUUCCAGGUUGGCCUGAUCACUCACUCACCACUCCCUGCAACUCCAUGGAGAAGAUAUAAGCUGUCAAAAAUGUAUUUGUGAGUCUGAUGAGCUCUUUCACCCAGGUGACAGGGGUUUCUGCCAUAUUAAUAUUCUUCUUCUUCUCCACCUUUUGUGUUUCAAUGCUGGGCCUGGAGAAGGCAGGGACCUUGGCUCUUCCACGGUGGCUGUUCAUCAGCACUCACACAUCCACCACACCGGUUUAGUCGCACGCUGGAAGUAGAGACGGGGUUUCACCGUGUUAGCCAGAACGGUCUUGAUCUCCUGACCUCAUGAUCUGCCCGCCUCGGUCUCCCAAAGUGCUGGGAUUACAGGUAUGAGCCACCGCGCCUGGCCGGGAUAGCAUUUUAACUGGAUAGCUGACUGGCUGAUUUUAUAUUCCCACUUAAUGGAUAGAGAAAUUGAGGCAUUAGGAACCAUAUGGACCUGCCUUACUCUGAGAGGGAAAUAGGAGCAGGCCUGGGAAGUUUUCCCAGGAAAGAGAAUUUGUUAUAGCUUCAUAGAUUCAUGGGAUGCAUGAAUUUUCUUUUUCUUUUUUUUUGAGUUGCAAGAUUGUGAGGUUGCAGAUGCUCUGUGUAAAACAAUGCCCCACAGGGAGGGAAGUGUGAGGUCCGGCCUGAGGCCACCCUUAAAAAGGGCUAUAAACAGCAGCUGCUUCUAUUGUGCGUGCCAAGUGCUGCCUAUUAGUUUAGGUUUCCAAACUCCUUGUUUCUUUCUCUUGAACCAGAUGUGACCGAGCAAGAGUUUGUCAAUUCAGAGGUAGACCCCAGAUGGUGGGAAUCAAAGGAGGGAAGUGAGGGGCACACGGGCCUCUGGGGGCUGAGGCAGGAGACAGCUCUCUGCCUUUCUCAGGUACUCUGUUUUUCUGUCUUGGUGUCUGAUCCGUCCUUCCUUCUCCGGGUUUGGCAGCUGAGGCAGAGUGGGGAAGAGUGUCUGUGGUGUCUGAUCUUCAAGCUCACACAUGAGCUCGUGGAGGGCUCAGGACACAAAGGAGGGGGAUAGAUGACAGUGGAAGAGCACUCGGGAGCCCCAUUAGGCACCCCUGAUGGAGGGCAGGGAGGGGGCAAACAAAAGAGCCCCAGGCCGCUGGGCCACACAGAACCUGGAUGAUGAAACAGGAGGAUGCAGGCAGGAAGACAGAGCCACCUCUCUCUGCUGCCCCUGGCGAAGGGGUGCAUUCGUUCCCUGGUUGGUGGGGGAGAGACGCCAACCCAGAGCCACGUUAUUUCUGAUUCGUGGUGCAUGGCAUUUUUAUUUACCAUUUAUGAAACUGCGGGUUCAGAUGUGUGUGAUUUUGUUUUUUUGUUUUUUGUUUUUAUUUUUGAGACAGAGUCUCU